Molecule: microRNA, 25 nt
Filed under: Homo sapiens (human)
Lineage: Eukaryota; Metazoa; Chordata; Mammalia; Primates; Hominidae
Description: hsa-miR-10393-5p
Source: miRBase by way of RNAcentral
AGAAUUCUCUUAUCCAACAUCAACA